Non-coding RNA from Pimephales promelas (fathead minnow), 1364 nucleotides. The record is from RefSeq and is a predicted model, not a curated record. NCBI's taxonomy places the organism in Eukaryota, Metazoa, Chordata, Actinopteri, Cypriniformes, Leuciscidae.
UACACUGUAAAACCUAACAGUUGUACUAGCUCAUAACUAAUGAGGUCAUUACAGUCAAAUGUCCUUAUGCAGUUGAACAAACUAUUAAGUAUUGAGCUCUGUUGACAUUUAUACCACUUUAAUUGAAUAGGGCUCAAAAUUUGAUAGUUAAUUUGUGUGGAGCACUCAAAAAGUUUAGGAGUAGUGGCAUGACGUCAUGACGUGGUGGGUGGGUCUUAUCUCUGCCUCAGGAAAGCUGAGUCAGCCAUCUUGAAUUUGCCUUCAUGCGGAGAAGUUUUCAUGGAAGUUUUUACAGUUUAAUUUGUUUUUAUUCGUUUGCAAUGCAUUUUUUAUCCCCUCACUUCAAACCAAGACCUCAGUUUUUUCAUCUUUGACCUGCCGUCAUUUCAGCGCCGUCUUAUCAGCCCUGAUUUGGUAAGUAAUGCUAACAUUUUUUGUUGUUGUUUUUAAUUGAAUUUCGAUAAAUAGUCUUACAUUUGGAACUGGGAAUACAUGUAUAUAAUAUGCACAGUGAAUAUUUGUUGUAAAUAGUUUACAAAUCCGAGUAAUUGUAACUAAAAAUGUUUGAAUCUAACAACGGUGUACAGUUGGCGGGUUUCCGGAAGAACUACAUUUCACAUAAUGCAUGUUUUCCCGGGACAUUGACGUAGAGGAACGACCGUGAGUUUGAAUUUUCUCGUGGAGUCCGAAACGCUCCCACUGUCUAUGGUCCGAAAGCAUAACGUUAACUUAUCCCUGCUUCCCAGUUUCUGCCGGCUGUUGUUUUCGCUGGUAAUGCAUGUAAAGUAACAUUUUACUUAUUUGUAAGUGUCCGCGUUAAACAGCUCGAGUGUUUGGUUGUGAGAUGAUCAUCUAGGAAUCUUUUUUAAAAGUUCAGAUAUUGAACUUGAGUGCUACAGAGAGUCAGCGUUUCACCAUCAGACAGUUGCCAAUAGAGUUUCACCGAAUCAACAACAUUAACCUGCAAUCAAUUCUACAAGGAGCUGGACAGACACACGCCUAAACUCAUCACCUGAGACAAGGCCACCAAGACUGUCAAGACAGUGGAGGAGCUAGCCAAACUCAUGAGGAUUUAUGACCUUCAGGAACAACGUGAUGUAAAUAUGAGAUGGGACCUCAUCCUUGGUGCACUUCCUGUCUACCUGCAUGAAGAUUCUUUAAGUUCUUCAGGACCUGUAAUUCAGGAGUUGGUCCAGACCUCACCGAUACUCCAGUGGCUCUCCUGACAGUCGUAACGGAUAACACUACUGAUGCAGCCCUCUUCUGCCCUGAGAGUAUCUGUCGUGAAGGAUAAAACACUUGCAAGCUCCUUUUGUGUCUUUUUAAAAGCACAUUGUUGAAUAAAAAAAGUUGCUAAAUUGUCA